GACGAACGCUGGCGGCGUGCUUAACACAUGCAAGUCGAACGGAAAGGCCCUGCUUUUGUGGGGUGCUCGAGUGGCGAACGGGUGAGUAACACGUGUGUAACCUGCCCUUGACUUUGGUAUAACUUCAGGAAACUGGGGCUAAUACCGGAUAGGAGCUCCUGCUGCAUGGUGGGGGUUGGAAAGUUUCGGCGGUUGGGUAUGGACUCGCGGCUUAUCAGCUUGAUGGUGGGGUAGUGGCUUACCAAGGCUUUGACGGGUAGCCGGCCUGGGAGGGUGACCGGCAACAUGGGGACGGAGAUACGGCCCAGACUCAAACGGGAGGCAGCAGUGGGGAAUAUUGAACAAGGGGCGGAAGCGUGAUGCAGAAACGCCGGGUGCGGGAUGACGGCCUUGGGGUGGUAAACAGCUUUCGCCUGUGACGAAGCGUGAGUGACGGUAAUGGGAAAAGAAGCACCGGCUAACUACGU
This 467-nucleotide ribosomal RNA is filed under the name uncultured bacterium. Its description in RNAcentral is "partial 16S ribosomal RNA". It matches the Rfam family "Bacterial small subunit ribosomal RNA", at positions 28 to 506 of the family's 1533-position model. The record is from RNAcentral.